UCUCGAUAAUAGCAAAGCAAGUGAAAGCUUGUGACGCAAAACUAUAGGGGCUUACGGUGCAAAGCAAGAUGCACCCAGCCAGCCAGCUGCCGAA
Molecule: non-coding RNA, 94 nt
Filed under: Paenibacillus sp.
Lineage: Bacteria; Bacillati; Bacillota; Bacilli; Caryophanales; Paenibacillaceae
Also listed under: 1 other name
Description: c-di-GMP sequence
Rfam family: c-di-GMP-I riboswitch aptamer
About the family: GEMM was predicted in a large-scale screen for bacterial structured RNA regulatory elements. Genes associated with GEMM are involved in a diverse array of functions, including chemotaxis regulation, signal transduction, secretion and chitin.
Source: RNAcentral